ACUUUCAAAGGAUAAUAGUAAUCCAAUGGUCUUAGGACCAGUCAUCUUGGUGCAAAUCAAAGUGAAAGUA
Molecule: transfer RNA, 70 nt
Filed under: Podoces hendersoni (Mongolian ground-jay)
Lineage: Eukaryota; Metazoa; Chordata; Aves; Passeriformes; Corvidae
Description: tRNA-Leu
Rfam family: tRNA
About the family: Transfer RNA (tRNA) molecules are approximately 80 nucleotides in length. Their secondary structure includes four short double-helical elements and three loops (D, anti-codon, and T loops).
Source: RNAcentral